UAGGUUAACGCCUUCCUCUGAGGCAACUGCACGGGUGUUACCGUCCAGCACCACGAGGAUUCCGUUUACUUCAGAUCUUGGGCGCGCGCUCUCACGGUAAACGAAAAAGCCAAUAGGAGCUCAGAGAGAGACCAGAGAGAUAUCCCCCCUUCACUGGUACAGCUGACUGAACUACUGGGGGACAAAGUGAACACACUCUGAAAGACUGUCUCACUAGACGAACAGGCAGUAGGGCCUCGUGCACACCGUGCACCACUCCCUAGCAUUCUUCUUGCCAAUGUCCAGUCUCUUGACAACAAGGUUGAUGAAAUCCGAGCAAGGGUAGCAUUCCAGAGGGACAUCAGAGACUGUAACGUUCUCUGCUUCACGGAAACAUGGCUAACUGGAGAGACGCAAUCCGAAGCGGUGCAGCCAGCGGGUUUCUCCACGCAUCGCGCGGACAGAAACUAACAUCUUUCUGGUAAGAAGAGGGGCGGGGGCGUAUGCCUUAUGACUAACGUGAC
This is a long non-coding RNA of Oncorhynchus tshawytscha (Chinook salmon), 503 nucleotides long. The record is from Ensembl. Lineage: Eukaryota; Metazoa; Chordata; Actinopteri; Salmoniformes; Salmonidae.